This 162-nucleotide ribosomal RNA is filed under the name uncultured bacterium. RNAcentral describes it as "partial 16S rRNA". It matches the Rfam family "Bacterial small subunit ribosomal RNA", at positions 355 to 510 of the family's 1533-position model. The record is from RNAcentral.
UAGGGAAUCUUCCACAAUGGACGCAAGUCUGAUGGAGCAACGCCGCGUGAGUGAAGAAGGUCUUCGGGUCGUAAACUCUGUUGUUAGAGAAGAACACGAGUGAGAGUAACUGUUCAUUCGAUGACGGUAUCUAACCAGCAAGUCACGGCUAACUACGUGCCG